AACGUAGGGAGCGAGCGUUGCCCGGAUUCACUGGGCGUAAAGCGGGUGUAGGCGGUCCGUUAAGUCGGAUGUGAAAUCCCACGGCUCAACCGUGGAAUUGCAUCCGAUACUGGCGGACUUGAGGACGGUAGAGGUCGGUGCGAUUCCCGGUGUACCGGUGAAAUGGGCAGAUAUCGGGAGGAACACCAGUGGCGAAGGCGGCCGACUGGGCCGAUCCUGACGCUGAGACCCGAAAGCCAGGGGAGCGAACCGG
This 253-nucleotide unclassified non-coding RNA is filed under the name uncultured Actinomycetes bacterium. RNAcentral describes it as "uncultured actinobacterium contains 16S-23S intergenic spacer region". It matches the Rfam family "Bacterial small subunit ribosomal RNA", at positions 524 to 776 of the family's 1533-position model. The record is from RNAcentral. Lineage: Bacteria; Bacillati; Actinomycetota; Actinomycetes.